Molecule: ribosomal RNA, 232 nt
Filed under: uncultured bacterium
Lineage: Bacteria
Description: partial 16S ribosomal RNA
Rfam family: Bacterial small subunit ribosomal RNA
Source: RNAcentral
UUUCCCUACGGGACGCAGCAGUGAGGAAUAUUGGUCAAUGGCCGAGAGGCUGAACCAGCCAAGUCGCGUGAGGGAAGAAUGUCCUAAGGAUUGUAAACCUCCUUUGUCGGGGAGCGAAAAGGCUCUGCGGAGUCGUAUUGAGAGUACCCGAAGAAAAAGCAUCGGCUAACUCCGUGCCAGCAGCCGCGGUAAUACGGAGGAUGCGAGCGUUAUCCGGAUUUAUUGGGUUUAA